Molecule: ribosomal RNA, 397 nt
Filed under: Pseudo-nitzschia pungens
Lineage: Eukaryota; Bacillariophyta; Bacillariophyceae; Bacillariales; Bacillariaceae
Description: partial Bacterial large subunit ribosomal RNA
Rfam family: Bacterial large subunit ribosomal RNA
Source: RNAcentral
UGCGAAUGCUGACAUGAGUAACGAUAAUGGGUGUGAAAAACACCCACGCCGAAAGACCAAGGUUUCCUGCGCAACGUUAAUCGACGCAGGGUUAGUCGGUCCCUAAGGCGAGGCUGAAAAGCGUAGUCGAUGGAAAACAGGUUAAUAUUCCUGUACUUCUGGUUAUUGCGAUGGAGGGACGGAGAAGGCUAGGCCAGCUUGGCGUUGGUUGUCCAAGUUUAAGGUGGUAGGCUGGAAUCUUAGGUAAAUCCGGGAUUCUAAGGCCGAGAGCUGAUGACGAGUGCUCAUUAGAGCGCGAAGUGGUUGAUGCCAUGCUUCCAAGAAAAGCUUCUAAGCUUCAGGUAACCAGGAACCGUACCCCAAACCGACACAGGUGGUUGGGUAGAGAAUACCAAGG